RNAcentral lists this ribosomal RNA (460 nucleotides) under Streptococcus mitis. RNAcentral describes it as "bacterial SSU rRNA". It matches the Rfam family "Bacterial small subunit ribosomal RNA", at positions 28 to 472 of the family's 1533-position model. Lineage: Bacteria; Bacillati; Bacillota; Bacilli; Lactobacillales; Streptococcaceae. The record is from RNAcentral.
GACGAACGCGGCGGCGUGCCUAAUACAUGCAAGUAGAACGCUGAAGGAGGAGCUUGCUUCUCUGGAUGAGUUGCGAACGGGUGAGUAACGCGUAGGUAACCUGCCUGGUAGCGGGGGAUAACUAUUGGAAACGAUAGCUAAUACCGCAUAAUAGCAGUUAUUGCAUGAUAACUGUUUGAAAGGUGCAAUUGCACCACUACCAGAUGGACCUGCGUUGUAUUAGCUAGUUGGUGGGGUAACGGCUCACCAAGGCGACGAUACAUAGCCGACCUGAGAGGGUGAUCGGCCACACUGGGACUGAGACACGGCCCAGACUCCUACGGGAGGCAGCAGUAGGGAAUCUUCGGCAAUGGACGGAAGUCUGACCGAGCAACGCCGCGUGAGUGAAGAAGGUUUUCGGAUCGUAAAGCUCUGUUGUAAGAGAAGAACGAGUGUGAGAGUGGAAAAGUUCACACUGUGA